GAUUAGUGGCGAACGGGUGAGUAACACGUGAGUAACCUGCCCUUGACUCUGGGAUAAGCCUGGGAAACUGGGUCUAAUACUGGAUAUGACUUCUCACCGCAUGGUGGGGGGUGGAAAGAUUUAUUGGUCUUGGAUGGACUCGCGGCCUAUCAGCUUGUUGGUGAGGUAAUGGCUCACCAAGGCGACGACGGGUAGCCGGCCUGAGAGGGUGACCGGCCACACUGGGACUGAGACACGGCCCAGACUCCUACGGGAGGCAGCAGUGGGGAAUAUUGCACAAUGGGCGCAAGCCUGAUGCAGCGACGCCGCGUGAGGGAUGACGGCCUUCGGGUUGUAAACCUCUUUCAGUAGGGAAGAAGCGAAAGUGACGGUACYUKRCAGAAGAAGCGSCGCGCUAACWACGUGCCAGCAGCCGCGGUAAUAGCGUAGGGCGCGAGCGUUAUCCGGAAUUAUUGGGCGUAAAGAGCUCGUAGGCGGUUUGUCGCGUCUGCCGUGAAAGUCCGGGGCUUAACCCCGGAUCUGCGGUGGGUACGGGCAGACUAGAGUGCAGUAGGGGAGACUGGAAUUCCUGGUGUAGCGGUGAAAUGCGCAGAUAUCAGGAGGAACACCGAUGGCGAAGGCAGGUCUCUGGGCUGUAACUGACGCUGAGGAGCGAAAGCAUGGGGAGCGAACAGGAUUAGAUACCCUGGUAGUCCAUGCCGUAAACGUUGGGCACUAGGUGUGGGGGACAUUCCACGUUUUCCGCGCCGUAGCUAACGCAUUAAGUGCCCCGCCUGGGGAGUACGGCCGCAAGGCUAAAACUCAAAGGAAUUGACGGGGGCCCGCACAAGCGGCGGAGCAUGCGGAUUAAUUCGAUGCAACGCGAAGAACCUUACCAAGGCUUGACAUGUUCCUGACCGCCGUAGRGAUGACGGUUUYYUCCUUUGGGGCAGGKCUCAGCAGAGUGGUGCAUGGUUGUCGUCAGCUCGUGUCGUGAGWUGUUGGGUKMMGUCCCGCAACGARCGCAACCCUCGUUCCAUGUUGCCAGCACGUAGUGGUGGGGACUCAUGGGAGACUGCCGGGGUCAACUCGGAGGAAGGUGGGGACGACGUCAAAUCAUCAUGCCCCUUAUGUCUUGGGCUUCACGCAUGCUACAAUGGCCGGUACAAUGGGUUGCGAUACUGUGAGGUGGAGCUAAUCCCAAAAAGCCGGUCUCAGUUCGGAUUGGGGUCUGCAACUCGACCCCAUGAAGUCGGAGUCGCUAGUAAUCGCAGAUCAGCAACGCUGCGGUGAAUACGUUCCCGGGCCUUGUACACACCGCCCGUCAAGUCACGAAAGUUGGUAA
This 1324-nucleotide ribosomal RNA is filed under the name bacterium str. 71381. RNAcentral's name for it is "16S ribosomal RNA". It matches the Rfam family "Bacterial small subunit ribosomal RNA", at positions 90 to 1417 of the family's 1533-position model. The record is from RNAcentral.